GACGAACGCUGGCGGCGUGCUUAACACAUGCAAGUCGAACGGUGAAGCGCCUUCCUUUUUGGUGGGUGUGGAUGAGUGGCGAACGGGUGAGUAACACGUGAGUAACCUGCCCCCUUCUUCUGGAUAACCGCAUGAAAGUGUGGCUAAUACGGGAUAUUCUGGGUCUGUCGCAUGAUGGGUCUGGGAAAGAUAUUGUUUCGGGGGGGGAUGGGCUCGCGGCCUAUCAGCUUGUUGGUGGGGUGAUGGCCUACCAAGGCGGUGACGGGUAGCCGGCCUGAGAGGGUGGACGGUCACACUGGGACUGAGACACGGCCCAGACUCCUACGGGAGGCAGCAGUGGGGAAUAGUGCACAAUGGGCGCAAGCCUGAUGCAGCGACGCCGCGUGAGGGAUGGAGGCCUUCGGGUUGUGAACCUCUUUCGCCAGUGAAGCAGGCCUGCCUCGUUUGUGGGUGGGUUGACGGUAGCUGGAUAAGAAGCGCCGGCUAACUACGUG
Molecule: ribosomal RNA, 494 nt
Filed under: uncultured bacterium
Lineage: Bacteria
Description: partial 16S ribosomal RNA
Rfam family: Bacterial small subunit ribosomal RNA
Source: RNAcentral